This 2593-nucleotide long non-coding RNA is filed under the name Sus scrofa (pig). RNAcentral describes it as "lncRNA (ENSSSCG00055030033.1)". Lineage: Eukaryota; Metazoa; Chordata; Mammalia; Artiodactyla; Suidae. The record is from RNAcentral.
UAUUAUUCUUAUAUUAUGUGGUUUCUUGCAGUUCAGGGAGGUGAAGUGCAGGUUUGCUUGAGACUGAGAUUGCCAGGACUGGGAGUGGGCCUCUGCUUUCUGUUCCUCUAGCCCCUGGUCACGGCGGUGAGGGUACCACCUCCCUCUGUCUGUUUCUUUCUCCCAGCAUCCUCCACCUGCUUUUCUCCAUGGAACACACCGAGUCCCUCCAGGUACCAGGGCUACCCCUGCACUGAGUGUGGAUGUGGCCACCACGUCUUGAACUAUGCCAUCUGUCUGUUUAGGCUGCUAUGAUGGCUUGAGGCAGACGUCAUGCCUUAUUCCGCCCUUAUGUAUCUGCAGUGCCUUGAACGGUGUCUGACCCAUAGGACAGUGGCCAGUAAGUGUUUAUUCGAUGGAUAAACAAAUACAGGGAUGUUCCGAGUGAAUGGCUCUGGAGUGCGCACAAGCGCUGUUCCAGUUCAGUGAAAAACGAACAUUUGGCCUCAGCUGGGGGCUCAUUCCGCUUUGGGCUCCAGGGUCAUUUCAGUUCAAGGCUCCGGUAAGGAAUGUGGGGUUUUGCCUGAGCCUGGGCAGGGCUGCUCUCUAAGGUCUGAGAGCAGCCAGCCAGCCGUGGGUACCUCAAUUAGGGGUGGAAAGGGGCCUUUCUUUGUGGAAAUCCCCACGGCCCAGGGCCUGGGACCAAUCCAUGGGGUCACAAGGCUGCGGCGGAGGCCGUGGUGGAGGCCGUGGUAGAGGCUGCGGCAGAGCCAGCCUGCACUUUGCACACACUGCCCGCCCCAGGCGUGACCUUGAUCUCGGACCCUCAGUGACUGCGUCUGACCUGGGACAAUACACAAUGCGGCUGGCACUGCCACAAGCGCCUCAUUGAGCUGGCUCCGAGCAUCCUGGAGGCGGGUGGAGAGGGUUGUUCAGUGAGGAUUCUUUGUUGAGGAGAAAACGCCGUGGCCGCCCACAUAAAUAUGCAAAGCCUCCCGAACCCUGGCCGUGGAAAGAAACCCACCCCGUCACCCCAGAACCAGAACCAGAAUUGCCUACCAAGGAGAAGGAGGGCUGGAAAGAGGGGACAGAUGCGGGCCAGGCCUCUGCCGGGGGCAGGACCAUGCUGUGCGAUCUGAUUCCAUGAGCCCGAUCUGCAGUGCAGUGGCCUUGGCAUCAGUUUUCAGUGGGGGACUUGAGGCUCAGCGAGGCCACAGUGCUUGACCAAGGCCACAUGAGGGUGGCUGAUCCUCAGAAGGACCAGAAAGUCCCCAAACAACAGGAGUGCAGUGAUUAUGACCCUCGGAGCAAUGAUGAUGAAGAUUCUGGAAGGAUCCUUGGGUUUGUUCUGGAAAACGAGGUUGCUGUGUUUCGAAUGGGAGGUGGGGCAGGUGAUGGAAAGAAUGCAGGCUUUGGAUCCCAACAGUCCUAGGCUCAAAUCCUGGCCAUGUUUGCUCUGGUUGUGUGACCCUGGGCAGUUGUCUAACCUCUCUGUGCUUGGUUUCUAAUAGUACCUACCUCACAAGCUGCUUGUGAAGAUUAAAUGAGGUAAUACAUGCCCAGCCCAUAUAUAGGGCAAGCAUGUGGGUGCCUGGUCAUGGUUUUGUCAUUGCUAUUGCCCGGGUCACAUGGGGACCCUCGGAACUGUGGAAAACUGUAUGGAGUUUCCUCAGAAAACUAAAUAUAGAACUAGCACAUGAUUCAGCAAUCUCGCUCCUGGGCAUCCAGACAAAACUUUCAUUCAAAAAGACGCAUGCACCCCUAUGUUCACUGCAGCACUCUUCACAAUAGCCAAGACAUGGAAACAACCUAAAUGUCCAUUAACAGAUGAAUGGAUGAAGACGAUGUGAUAUAUAUACACAACGGAAUACUACUCAGCCAUGAAAAAUAACAAAGUAAUGCCAUUUGCAGCAACAUGGAUGGAGAGACUCUCAUACUAAGGGAAGUAAGUCAGAAAGAGAAAGAUGAAUACUACAUAAUAUCACAUAUAUCUGGAAUCUAAUAUAUGACACAAAUGAAACUUUCCACAGAAAAGAAACUCGUGGACUUGGAGAACAGACUUGUGGUUGCCAAGGGCGAGGGGAGGGAGUGGAAGGAACUGGGAGUCUGGGGAACGGAUGCAUUGGUCGGUAGAUAAGCCAUGAGUUCCUGCUGUAUAGCACAGGGAACUAUAUCUAGUCACUUGAGAUGGAACAUGGUGGAGGAUAACGUGAGAAAAAGAAUGUAUAUAUGAUAUAUGACUGCAAUGAAGUCCUGCUGUAUAGCACAGGGAACUCUAUUCAAUCACUUGUGAUAGAAUAUGGUAGGAGAUAAUGUAAGAAAAAGAAUGUGUAUUUAUACAUAUACGUAUAACCGGGUCACUUUGCUGUAUGGCAGAAAAUGACAGAACAUCGUAAAUCAACUAUAAUUUUAAAAAUUAAAAAAAAAAAAUAGGAGUUCCCAUCGUGGCGCAGUGGUUAACGAAUCUGACUAGGAAUCAUGAGGUUGCGGGUUUGAUCCCUGCCCUUGCUCAGUGUUGCCGUGAGCUGUGGUGCCUCGGAUCCUGCAUUGCUAUGGCUCUGGCGUAGGCCGGUGGCUACAGCUCCGAUUCGACCCCUAGCCUGGGAACCUCCAU